AAUACUAACUGUACACCCAAAAGUUAGCGUAAAUCUCACACUCUUUUGUUAUUAAGUUUUUUUUUUUUAUAUUAGCUUUAUCAUAUUCUUAAUUUUAUAAUCGUUUGAUUGACUUUAUUUGUACAAUAAAAUGUUAUCUGCUGAAUCGCACUAUUACGAGGGAUUUGUAUUCUAUACAACUUCUGCACAUGGAGUUGUACAAAAUGUGUGCUUUAUUAAAAGAACGUGCACUUUACUAGAAAUAUUUUAAUAGAUUCACCGACAAUAAAAGCAAAACCUUCAAAUUUGAAAUUCCGGUUCUCGUACUCAUCAUAAUAUCUAAACUCGCCAAAAUCUUUAUUUAAAGCAAAAAUAAAAGUAAAAUUCGAAUAACUUUUUACAACGCCAUCCCCCUCCAUCCCAAAAUUU
Molecule: long non-coding RNA, 408 nt
Filed under: Ananas comosus (pineapple)
Lineage: Eukaryota; Viridiplantae; Streptophyta; Magnoliopsida; Poales; Bromeliaceae
Description: long non-coding RNA (ACOM_LNC000043)
Source: RNAcentral